CCUUUCCGUCAUUCACCAAAACGCAACUCUCUCUCUGGAACUCAACCCAAUCUGAGCACAGCAACCUCCCAUUCAUUUCUGUCACCCAAAUCCCAACUCUCUCUCUCUCUCUAUAUAUCUCUCAUCUCUCUCUGCGCGCCCAAUUUGCCAAGACGCCAGAGAUAACCCAAAACUAGAUACAGUUGCUUGCACGAUCUCUGAAAGCAAAGAAGAAUCUCACAAUACCCAAAAAAGAUGAGUUUAAAUGAUGAGUCUCAAUUUAUAUCUGUGGAGGAAAGAGGAGAAGAUGCUACAACAAAUGUACAAGGAGAUGAUUUGCCUUCUAGAAGAAAUCGGACGAGAUAGGCUGUUAAAUAUGAUAAUUAUAUUGUAAUAUGUAUAUAUUAAUUGAUCUGAAUAUAUUUCUCUAAUAGUUGAUCAAAAAAUGAAUCAAAAAUUACAUAAGUCUUAACGGAUUUUAAUGGAUUUGGGAAAAAAAAUUUAUAUACAUAAGUCUUAACCAGUUCUAGUUGUUUAAAAAAAAAAUUAAAAAAAAAGUUGUUAACGGGUUCCAACGGAAAACCCGCAAACCUGUCAGGUUUAGCCUGCGAAACCCGUUAACUUAACGGGUUUUUACCGGGUCGGCCCGUUAAAAACCCGACCCGUUAAAAACUCGGCCCGUACCCGCACUAUACCCGCACGUUGCCAGGCCUAUCUAUAUACAAUUGUUCGUUGUUAAUUAUGAAGCAAUAGUAUUAUCAUUAUCUGUCCAAUUGGAAAACCUACAUCUUCAUUUACAAAGGCUGAUACAUUUUUCAUUAGAAUCAAUCUAUUUUUACUUUUCUACUUACCUACAUACUGUUUGAUUUACCUCAAUGAUUUCACCUAGAAUCUAAACCAAUCAUAAUUGAAGAAGACAGGAUUCAAAACAAUGAGCAACCAAUGACCAUCAGAAGGCUUUUCCUCUCUCUUUCUGAUGUAUAUCAAAAUUUUAUUCAAAACAGUACACUACUAAAACAAUAAGUACAAAGAUACAAAUCAGAAACCAAGGAACUUCCCAAAGAUACAGAAGCUGGGAGCCUCUAAAUGAAGAAUAGCAGCAAUAAUUUUCCCUUUUUUCUCUGUCUGCAUUUCUUCUGCAACCUUUAUUUUCAAUUUAGCUUUCUUGUCCUCUCCACUUUGGCACAUAAUCAAGUCAGCAAGGUGGCAAUCUUAUGGUACAGAAACCACGCCGAUUUCAAAGUUUGCAUUCAAAACAGAACAUACCACCCAAAAACCAUCAUAAACACCGUACCUAAGCCAAAUUUUUCUUUGUACUGUUUACGGCAUCAAAUAUACCCACCUACAGUUAAAUCAGGGUUCUUAGCCAGAAAAGAUCUGUUAGAAACCAACAAUGAUCAAAAUGACUCAGAAAAGUACUUGCCAAUAGUCUCUCUUUUUCUUCUUACAAACAAAGUUCAAAUCUUUUCACAACAAAAGCUUAUAAACUAGACAAAAAUACUCAAAGUCAUUUUAACACAAUCAACAACAAACUAAUCAAAUGCGUACAAAAAUCAAAUUCAUCAACAAAAAAGAAAAAAAGAAAAAAAAGAAAUAGAGUUAACCUUCCAAGCUGCCCAUCUUUCUGACCUCAGGAGGAAUCUCUCCACCUAGAUUAUUAACAUUCAAACAAAAGCCAGUGAAGCUGCACAAAUUGGCAAAAGGAAUUGUGAGAUAAAUCUUGUUCUCUUUAAAGUAAAUACAAAAUAUACUGAUAUUCUUUUCGAAUAAACCAUAUAUGAGGUUGAGAUGAUUACCUUGCGCUACUUCCCUUGAACUGAUGCAUAUGAUUGCCCAAAUUAUAAGAAUCAUGAGGGGUUUCCUUUCUGCACAGAAUAAAAGCCAGUAUUACUCUUAUCGAUACCAGCUAGAAGUAUAGGUGCAGAAAGUAUUAUUGAACCAUGUUGUCCUGUACAAUGAUCAGAUAUGCUCAUCAAAUAAAGUAUGAGAGCUAAUGGAAAUAGAAGGAAGCAGGUGUGAAAAGCCAAAAUAAAUUAAUGAAUGGAAGAAGAUGUGCAUGGAAAAGAAGCACCCGAACUAAUUGCUCAAACUAUUGGAGCUGAGACAGAAAAGAAAUUGGAUUCAAAUACUAACUUGCAAAAACCCCAUUAUUCGUUUGUGACGUCAACUAAAAUACAAUGCAUAAAACUUGUUGAACAACUCAACCCUGUAGUCCAUCUCCUUUUCUUCCAUACCAAAAAUCUGCACACAAUUAUUUAAAAAGCAUUAGUUACAGGGCAACAACUAAAUAGCAAGAGAGUACCAAUCCAUCUCUAAGAGUAAAAAUAAACCAUGUUGUCGCCUACUAAACUCUCAAGAAAUACCUUUGUUUCAUUAAGAUCAAACACUCAUCACUGAUCAAUACGACCAUAAGCCAAAAUUGAUUGCACCAAAUCAACAGAAAACAGAGGUUCCAAAUACCCACUAAGAAUUUCAACACUCAUCACUGAUCAAUACGACCAUAUGCCAAAAUUGAUUGCACCAAAUCAACAGAAAACAGAGGUUCCAAAUACCCAC
This is a long non-coding RNA of Rosa chinensis, 2535 nucleotides long. RefSeq lists it as uncharacterized. The transcript has 4 exons. The record is from RefSeq and is a predicted model, not a curated record. Lineage: Eukaryota; Viridiplantae; Streptophyta; Magnoliopsida; Rosales; Rosaceae.